RNAcentral lists this transfer RNA (73 nucleotides) under Felis catus (domestic cat). It matches the Rfam family "tRNA". Rfam says of the family: Transfer RNA (tRNA) molecules are approximately 80 nucleotides in length. Their secondary structure includes four short double-helical elements and three loops (D, anti-codon, and T loops). The record is from Rfam by way of RNAcentral. Lineage: Eukaryota; Metazoa; Chordata; Mammalia; Carnivora; Felidae. RNAcentral also lists the same sequence under 3 other names.
ACCUGGCUGGCUCAGUUGGAAGAGCAUGGGACUCUUGAUCUCAGGGUCAUGAGUUCAAGCCCCACACUAGGUG